UACGAACGCUGGCGGCGUGCCUAAUACAUGCAAGUUGAGCGAUGAAGAUUGGUGCUUGCACCAAUUUGAAGAGCAGCGAACGGGUGAGUAACGCGUGGGGAAUCUGCCUUUGAGCGGGGGACAACAUUUGGAAACGAAUGCUAAUACCGCAUAACAACUUUAAACAUAAGUUUUAAGUUUGAAAGAUGCAAUUGCAUCACUCAAAGAUGAUCCCGCGUUGUAUUAGCUAGUUGGUGAGGUAAAGGCUCACCAAGGCGAUGAUACAUAGCCGACCUGAGAGGGUGAUCGGCCACAUUGGGACUGAGACACGGCCCAAACUCCUACGGGAGGCAGCAGUAGGGAAUCUUCGGCAAUGGACGAAAGUCUGACCGAGCAACGCCGCGUGAGUGAAGAAGGUUUUCGGAUCGUAAAACUCUGUUGGUAGAGAAGAACGUUGGUGAGAGUGGAAAGCUCAUCAAGUGACGGUAACUACCCAGAAAGGGACGGCUAACUACGUG
This 497-nucleotide ribosomal RNA is filed under the name uncultured bacterium. RNAcentral's name for it is "partial 16S ribosomal RNA". It matches the Rfam family "Bacterial small subunit ribosomal RNA", at positions 29 to 507 of the family's 1533-position model. The record is from RNAcentral.